GAAAUGCGAUAACUAGUGUGAAUUGCAGAAUUCCGUGAAUCAUCGAGUCUUUGAACGCACAUUGCGCCCCCUGGUAUUCCGGGGGGCAUGCCUGUCCGAGCGUCAUUGCUGCCCAUCAAGCGCGGCUUGUGUGUUGGGUCGUCGUCCCCUCUCCGGGGGGGACGGGCCCCAAAGGCAGCGGCGGCACCGCGUCCGAUCCUCGAGCGUAUGGGGCUUUGUCACCCGCUCUGUAGGCCCGGCCGGCGCUUGCCGAACGCAAAUCAAUCUUUUUCCAGGUUGACCUCGGAUCAGGUAGGGAUACCCGCUGAACUUAAGC
This 316-nucleotide unclassified non-coding RNA is filed under the name plant metagenome. RNAcentral describes it as "partial contains 5.8S ribosomal RNA, internal transcribed spacer 2, and large subunit ribosomal RNA". The stretch from base 1 to 105 matches the Rfam family "5.8S ribosomal RNA", at positions 50 to 154 of the family's 154-position model. The record is from RNAcentral.